AAGUUUAUAACUCAGUUGGUUUAGAGCGUACGCCUGAUAAAUGUAAGGUCAGUAGUUCAAGUCUACUUAAGCUUA
RNAcentral lists this transfer RNA (75 nucleotides) under Thalassiosira nordenskioeldii. Its description in RNAcentral is "tRNA-Ile". It matches the Rfam family "tRNA". From Rfam's summary of the family: Transfer RNA (tRNA) molecules are approximately 80 nucleotides in length. Their secondary structure includes four short double-helical elements and three loops (D, anti-codon, and T loops). Further hydrogen bonds mediate the characteristic L-shaped molecular structure. tRNAs have two regions of fundamental functional importance: the anti-codon, which is responsible for specific mRNA codon recognition, and the 3' end, to which the tRNAs corresponding amino acid is attached (by aminoacyl-tRNA synthetases). tRNAs cope with the degeneracy of the genetic code in two manners: having more than one tRNA (with a specific anti-codon) for a particular amino acid; and 'wobble' base-pairing, i.e. permitting non-standard base-pairing at the 3rd anti-codon position. The record is from RNAcentral. Lineage: Eukaryota; Bacillariophyta; Thalassiosirophyceae; Thalassiosirales; Thalassiosiraceae.